Molecule: transfer RNA, 546 nt
Filed under: uncultured cyanobacterium
Lineage: Bacteria; Bacillati; Cyanobacteriota
Description: partial 16S-23S ribosomal RNA intergenic spacer
Rfam family: tRNA (bases 212-284)
Source: RNAcentral
CAGGGAGACAACAAAAUGUUUAAUAUUAUUAUUUUGUCACCUUAGGUCGAUCGGUAUCUCACAUUCUUGAUUUAUUAAGAAUUUCAUUUCCUAAGUUUUUCUAGGUCACACCCAUUAUUUUUCCUGGGCCAUUAGCUCAGGUGGUUAGAGCGCACCCCUGAUAAGGGUGAGGUCCCUGGUUCAAGUCCAGGAUGGCCCAUAUCUCUAUGUUGGGGGUAUAGCUCAGUUGGUAGAGCGCCUGCUUUGCAAGCAGGAUGUCAGCGGUUCGAGUCCGCUUACCUCCACUGAUUACCACCUCUUCCAUAUUUAGAAUAGAAGAAGGGAAAAAUUUUGAGUUGUGAUAAUUAUUCUGAACGAAUCUAGCUUCCUGAUGAAAUCAUUAAGAUGCUGGACUCAUUGAAUUAAUUUCAUUGAUUUCAGAGAACCUUGACAACUGCAUAGAUUAUUUUUAAAGACAAUAAGCAUCUUUAAUGAUGCAGAUUUAUUAUUUGUGCAAAUGCAUUAAUAACAAUUCUAUUAAGCUGAUGCUUCAAUUUUGAAGUUAUU